This 471-nucleotide ribosomal RNA is filed under the name uncultured bacterium. RNAcentral's name for it is "SSU rRNA". It matches the Rfam family "Bacterial small subunit ribosomal RNA", at positions 26 to 518 of the family's 1533-position model. The record is from RNAcentral.
AGGAUAAACGCUGGCGGCGUGCAUGAGACAUGCAAGUCGAACGGACGAUCAGGGCUUGCUCUGAUCGUUAGUGGCGGACGGCUGAGUAACGCGUAGGUGACCUGCCCCGAAGUGGGGAAUAACUGCCCGAAAGGGUGGCUAAUACCGCAUGUGGUGGUGUGUUCAUUCACACCAGUAAAGCCGCAAGGCGCUUCGGGAGGGGCCUGCGUCCGAUUAGCUCGUUGGUGGGGUAACGGCUCACCAAGGCGACGAUCGGUAGGUGGUCUGAGAGGACGAUCACCCAGACUGGGACUGAGACACGGCCCAGACUCCUACGGGAGGCAGCAGUCGGGAAUUUUGCGCAAUGGACGAAAGUCUGACGCAGCAACGCCGCGUGAGGGAUGAAGGCCUUCGGGUUGUAACCUCUUUAUCAGGGAAGAUAAUGACGGUACCUGAUGAAUAAGUCACGGCUAACUACGUGCCAGCAGCCGC